This 329-nucleotide unclassified non-coding RNA is filed under the name Hevea brasiliensis (rubber tree). Lineage: Eukaryota; Viridiplantae; Streptophyta; Magnoliopsida; Malpighiales; Euphorbiaceae. The record is from RNAcentral.
GUGAAGUAUGCCAAGAGGCCGAGGAUUCACACGUUUAUUGCGACAAGUGAGAUCCAUAUGCAGUAUAAGUUGAGGAAGAGUAAAGAGGAGGUGUUGGAGAUUGCCAGGAGUAUGGUUAAGUUCGCCAGGAGUUUGGGGUGUGAUGAUGUAGAGUUUAGCCCAGAGGAUGCUGGCAGAUCUGACAGAGAGUUCUUGUAUCAGAUCUUGGGUGAAGUUAUCAAGGCUGGUGCAACAACUCUGAACAUACCUGAUACUGUUGGGAUAACGUUGCCUAGUGAAUUUGGACAGUUAAUAGCUGAAAUAAAAGCCAAUACCCCUGGAAUAGAAAA